GAGUUUGAUCCUGGCUCAGGAUGAACGCUGGCGGCGUGCUUAACACAUGCAAGUCGAACGAAGCGCCUUAUUUGAUUUUCUUCGGAACUGAAGAUUUGGUGACUGAGUGGCGGACGGGUGAGUAACGCGUGGGUAACCUGCCCUGUACAGGGGGAUAACAAUCAGAAAUGACUGCUAAUACCGCAUAAGACCACAGCACCGCAUGGUGCAGGGGUAAAAGCUCCGGUGGUACAGGAUGGACCCGCGUCUGAUUAGCUGGUUGGUGAGGUAACGGCUCACCAAGGCGACGAUCAGUAGCCGGCUUGAGAGAGUGAACGGCCACAUUGGGACUGAGACACGGCCCAAACUCCUACGGGAGGCAGCAGUGGGGAAUAUUGCACAAUGGGAGAAACCCUGAUGCAGCAACGCCGCGUGAGUGAAGAAGUAUUUCGGUAUGUAAAGCUCUAUCAGCAGGGAAGAAAGUGACGGUACCUGACUAAGAAGCCCCGGCUAACUACGUGCCAGCCGCCGC
RNAcentral lists this ribosomal RNA (511 nucleotides) under uncultured microorganism. RNAcentral describes it as "bacterial SSU rRNA". It matches the Rfam family "Bacterial small subunit ribosomal RNA", at positions 9 to 518 of the family's 1533-position model. The record is from RNAcentral.